Molecule: long non-coding RNA, 320 nt
Filed under: Bos taurus (domestic cattle)
Lineage: Eukaryota; Metazoa; Chordata; Mammalia; Artiodactyla; Bovidae
Description: long non-coding RNA NONBTAT019400
Source: RNAcentral
GAAGACUUCACUGUAAAUUUUGUACCUCAGCUCUAAAGAUAGCAGUGUUCACCAUAUUGAAUGGUUUGUCUACAAAUGAAGGAAAUUAGGUAAAUUUUUCAUCUAUUAAAUAUCAUUGAAAGAAAAUAAAAAUAGUGAAACAUGGACUAAAGACAUUUAUGUACUAACUAAUUUAGGUCAUUUAUGUUUGUAAGCUGAACAAACUUGUAUGUAGCUAUAGAGGAUCAUGUGACCUCCAGAUGGAUGUAAAAAUUUUGAUAUUUGCUAGUGGUGAUAAUUUCAGCUAUGGUGAGGUUCCUUUUAAAUCAAGUAGGCUUAGU